This is a long non-coding RNA of Nerophis ophidion (straightnose pipefish), 767 nucleotides long. RefSeq lists it as uncharacterized. The transcript has 3 exons. NCBI's taxonomy places the organism in Eukaryota, Metazoa, Chordata, Actinopteri, Syngnathiformes, Syngnathidae. The record is from RefSeq and is a predicted model, not a curated record.
AGUGUAAGCAUCCGACUGUCGGUGGCGGUCGGUGGGAGGAGGCAAGAGAGUCCACAGCUGCAGGAGGAACGAUGUAAACUCUUCGCUCAUGUCUACGCUCAAACAGGCAGCUGUGAUCUUGGCUCCUCGGCUUUAUCUCAGAGACACUGGCGUUCACCGCAGCCAUCUGACUUUCAGGUGACAUUCCACGUCCCAAGAGCUAGAAUAUAUAGAGGAACCAGAUGAGGUGGUUCUGAAAUCUGGACAGGAUGCCACCCGAACCCGAUUGGGGAGGAGGCCACGGGGAAGACCCAGGACACGUGUAUGUCUGGCCUGGGAACGCCUCGGGAUUCCCCGGGAAGAGCUGGACGAAGUGGCCGGGGAGAGGAAAGUCUGGGCUUCUCUGCUUGGGCUGCUUCCCCGGCGACCCACCUUCAGAUAAGCAGAAGAAGUUGAAUGGUUUGCUUUCUCCAAGAUGAAGAUUCAUCAUAUUCAAAACACAAUAUGAGGUAAUUAAUCACUUCAAUAGCCACCCUUUUGCUCCGAUUAUUUUUUUGCUCACUCUUGGCAUUCUCUCCAUGGGCUUCAAGUCAGGUAGUCACCUGGAACGGUUUUCACUUCACAGGUGUGCUUGAAGCUCAUCCAGAGAAUGCCGAGAGUGAUUAAAGCAAGGGGUGGCUAUUUUGAAGAAACUACAAUAUAAAACAUAUUUGCAGUUUUUUUUUUUGUUAAGUACAUAACUCCGCAUGUGUUCAGUCAUAGUUUUGAUGUGACAAUCUACAAUGUCA